AGCGAACGCUGGCGGCAGGCCUAACACAUGCAAGUCGAACGGACCUUUCGGGGUUAGUGGCGGACGGGUGAGUAACACGUGGGAACGUUCCUUUAGGUUCGGAAUAGCUCCUGGAAACGGGUGGUAAUGCCGAAUGUGCCCUUCGGGGGAAAGAUUUAUCGCCUUUAGAGCGGCCCGCGUCUGAUUAGCUAGUUGGUUGAGGUAACGGCCCACCAAGGCGACGAUCAGUAGCUGGUCUGAGAGGAUGGCCAGCCACAUUGGGACUGAGACACGGCCCAAACUCCGACGGGAGGCAGCAGUGGGGAAUCGUGCGCAAUGGGCGAAAGCCUGACGCAGCCAUGCCGCGUGAAUGAUGAAGGUCUUAGGAUUGUAAAAUUCUUUCACCGGGGACGAUAAUGACGGUACCCGGAGAAGAAGCCCCGGCUAACUUCGU
Molecule: ribosomal RNA, 433 nt
Filed under: uncultured bacterium
Lineage: Bacteria
Description: partial 16S ribosomal RNA
Rfam family: Bacterial small subunit ribosomal RNA
Source: RNAcentral